UACGUAGGGUGCUAGCGUUGUUCGGAAUCAUUGGGCGUAAAGCGCGUGUAGGCUGCUAGGUAAGUCUUGUGUGAAAUCCCUGGGCUCAACCGAGGAAGUGCAUGGGAAACUACCUAGCUAGAAGACGGUAGAGGAAGGUGGAAUUCCUAGUGUAGAGGUGAAAUUCGUAGAUAUUAGGAGGAAUACCGGUGGCGAAGGCGGCCUUCUGGGCCGAUCUUGACGCUGAGACGCGAAAGCGUGGGUAGCAAACAGG
RNAcentral lists this ribosomal RNA (253 nucleotides) under uncultured bacterium. RNAcentral describes it as "partial 16S ribosomal RNA". It matches the Rfam family "Bacterial small subunit ribosomal RNA", at positions 524 to 776 of the family's 1533-position model. The record is from RNAcentral.